RNAcentral lists this ribosomal RNA (442 nucleotides) under uncultured Bacteroidota bacterium. RNAcentral describes it as "bacterial SSU rRNA". It matches the Rfam family "Bacterial small subunit ribosomal RNA", at positions 917 to 1359 of the family's 1533-position model. Lineage: Bacteria; Pseudomonadati; Bacteroidota. The record is from RNAcentral.
GGGCCCGCACAAGCGGAGGAACAUGUGGUUUAAUUCGAUGAUACGCGAGGAACCUUACCCGGGCUUGAAAUGCAGAGGAAUAUAGGAGAGACCCUAUAGUCAGCAAUGACCUCUGUGUAGGUGCUGCAUGGUUGUCGUCAGCUCGUGCCGUGAGGUGUCGGCUUAAGUGCCAUAACGAGCGCAACCCUUAUCAUUAGUUACUAUCAGGUUAUGCUGAGGACUCUAAUGAGACUGCCGUCGUAAGAUGUGAGGAAGGUGGGGAUGACGUCAAAUCAGCACGGCCCUUACGUCCGGGGCUACACACGUGUUACAAUGGGGAGUACAGAAGGUUGCUACACAGUGAUGUGAUGCUAAUCCCAAAAGCUCCUCUCAGUUCGGAUCGAAGUCUGCAACCCGACUUCGUGAAGCUGGAUUCGCUAGUAAUCGCGCAUCAGCCAUGGCG